Molecule: ribosomal RNA, 254 nt
Filed under: uncultured bacterium
Lineage: Bacteria
Description: partial 16S ribosomal RNA
Rfam family: Bacterial small subunit ribosomal RNA
Source: RNAcentral
UACGGAGGGUGCAAGCGUUUAUCCGGAUUUACUGGGUUUAAAGGGUGCGUAGGUGGGUCUGUAAGUCAGUGGUGAAAUCUUCGAGCUUAACUCGGAAACUGCCAUUGAUACUAUAGGUCUUGAAUCAUCUGGAGGUGAGCGGAAUAUGUCAUGUAGCGGUGAAAUGCUUAGAUAUGACAUAGAACACCGAUUGCGAAGGCAGCUCACUACGGAUGUAUUGACACUGAGGCACGAAAGCGUGGGGAUCAAACAGG